This 465-nucleotide ribosomal RNA is filed under the name uncultured bacterium. Its description in RNAcentral is "partial 16S ribosomal RNA". It matches the Rfam family "Bacterial small subunit ribosomal RNA", at positions 338 to 795 of the family's 1533-position model. The record is from RNAcentral.
CCUACGGGAGGCAGCAGUGGGGAAUUAUGCGCAAUGGGCGAAAGCCUGACGCAGCGACGCCGCGUGAGGGAUGAAGGUCUUCGGAUCGUAAACCUCUGUCAGCAGGGAAGCACGGUCACUGUGCUGAUCAGCAGUGAAUAGACGGUACCUGCAAAGGAAGAACCGGCUAACUCCGUGCCAGGAGCCGCGGUAAUACGGAGGGUGCGAGCGUUAAUCGGAAUUACUGGGCGUAAAGCGCUCGUAGGCGGUAUGUCAAGUCAAGGGUGAAAUCCCCGCGCUCAACGUGGGAACUGCCUUUGAAACUGGCAAACUGGAGUGUGUGAGAGGAUAGUGGAAUUCCAGGUGUAGGAGUGAAAUCCGUAGAUAUCUGGAGGAACAUCAGUGGCGAAGGCGACUAUCUGGCACAUAACUGACGCUGAGGAGCGAAAGCGUGGGUAGCAAACAGGAUUAGAUACCCGAGUAGUC